This 431-nucleotide ribosomal RNA is filed under the name uncultured bacterium. RNAcentral describes it as "partial 16S ribosomal RNA". It matches the Rfam family "Bacterial small subunit ribosomal RNA", at positions 29 to 507 of the family's 1533-position model. The record is from RNAcentral.
AACGAACGCUGGCGGCAGGCUUAACACAUGCAAGUCGAGCGCCCCGCCAGGGGAGCGGCAGACGGGUGAGUAACGCGUGGGAACGUACCUUUUGGUUCGGAACAACUCCGGGAAACUGGAGCUAAUACCGGAUAAGCCCUAACGGGGAAAGAUUUAUCGCCGAAAGAUCGGCCCGCGUCUGAUUAGCUAGUUGGUGAGGUAACGGCUCACCAAGGCGACGAUCAGUAGCUGGUCUGAGAGGAUGAUCAGCCACACUGGGGCUGAGACACGGCCCAGACUCCUACGGGAGGCAGCAGUGGGGAAUAUCGGACAAUGGGCGCAAGCCUGAUCCAGCCAUGCCGCGUGAGUGAUGAAGGCCUUAGGGUUGUAAAGCUCUUUUGUCCGGGAAGAUAAUGACUGUACCGGAAGAAUAAGCCCCGGCUAACUUCGUG